This 407-nucleotide ribosomal RNA is filed under the name uncultured bacterium. RNAcentral describes it as "partial 16S ribosomal RNA". It matches the Rfam family "Bacterial small subunit ribosomal RNA", at positions 28 to 526 of the family's 1533-position model. The record is from RNAcentral.
GAUGAACGCUAGCUACAGGCUUAACACAUGCAAGUCGCGGGACCGGCGCACGGGUGAGUAACGCGUAUCCCACCUGCCCUUCACCACGGGAUAACCCGGCGAAAGUCGGACUAAUACCGUAUGGUGAAGGAUGGGGAUGCGUCCGAUUAGCUUGACGGCGGUGUAACGGCCCACCGUGGCUACGAACGGGAGGGGUUCUGAGAGGCAGGUCCCCCACACUGGAACUGGGACACGGUCCAGACGCGUACGGGAGGCAGCAGUGAGGAAUAUUGGUCAAUGGGCUUAAGCCUGAACCAGCCAAGUAGCGUGCAGGACGACGGCCUAUGGGUUGUAAACUGCUUGUAUGCGGGGAUAGGUACCGCAUGAAUAAGGACCGGCUAAUUCCGUGCCAGCAGCCGCGGUAAUUC